GGCACCAUACUUUAAAUCAAAAGAUUCGAUUUGCAUUCGACCAAUGAGGAGGCUUUCUCUGGCGCCG
This 67-nucleotide transfer RNA is filed under the name Calliotropis micraulax. RNAcentral's name for it is "tRNA-Ala". Lineage: Eukaryota; Metazoa; Mollusca; Gastropoda; Seguenziida; Calliotropidae. The record is from RNAcentral.